UUACUGGGCGUAAAGCGCAUGCAGGUGGUUUGUUAAGUCAGAAUGUGAAAGCCCGGGGCUCAACCUCGGAAUAGCAUUUGAAACUGGCAGACUAGAGUACUGUAGAGGGGGGUAGAAUUUCAGGUGUAGCGGUGAAAUGCGUAGAGAUCUGAAGGAAUACCGGUGGCGAAGGCGGCCCCCCUGGACAGAUACUGACACUCAGAUGCGAAAGCGUGGGGGAGCAAACAGGAUUAGAUACCCUGGUAGUCCACGCCGUAAACGAUGUCUACUUGGAGGUUGUGGCCUUGAGCCGUGGCUUUCGGAGCUAACGCGUUAAGUAGACCGCCUGGGGAGUACGGUCGCAAGAUUAAAACUCAAAUGAAUUGACGGGGGCCCGCACAAGCGGUGGAGCAUGUGGUUUAAUUCGAUGCAACGCGAAGAACCUUACCUACUCUUGACAUCCAGAGAACUUUCCAGAGAUGGAUUGGUGCCUUCGGGAACUCUGAGACAGGUGCUGCAUGGCUGUCGUCAGCUCGUGUUGUGAAAUGUUGGGUUAAGUCCCGCAACGAGCGCAACCCUUAUCCUUGUUUGCCAGCGAGUAAUGUCGGGAACUCCAGGGAGACUGCCGGUGAUAAACCGGAGGAAGGUGGGGACGACGUCAAGUCAUCAUGGCCCUUACGAGUAGGGCUACACACGUGCUACAAUGGCGCAUACAGAGGGCAGCAAGCUAGCGAUAGUGAGCGAAUCCCAAAAAGUGCGUCGUAGUCCGGAUUGGAGUCUGCAACUCGACUCCAUGAAGUCGGAAUCGCUAGUAAUCGUGGAUCAGAAUGCCACGGUGAAUACGUUCCCGGGCCUUGUACACACCGCCCGUCACACCAUGGGAGUGGGCUGCAAAAGAAAGUAGGUAGUUUAACCUUCGGGAGGACGCUUUACCACUUUUGUGGUUCAUGACUGGGGGUGAAGU
Molecule: ribosomal RNA, 943 nt
Filed under: Vibrio harveyi
Lineage: Bacteria; Pseudomonadati; Pseudomonadota; Gammaproteobacteria; Vibrionales; Vibrionaceae
Description: bacterial SSU rRNA
Rfam family: Bacterial small subunit ribosomal RNA
Source: RNAcentral